UUCGGGGGUGCCGGGACAAGGCCGGCUGAGAUUGUAUUCCUUAUAAUACUGACCCUUUGACCUGAUCUGGAUAAUGCCAGCGUAGGGAGCCA
RNAcentral lists this non-coding RNA (92 nucleotides) under Paenibacillus senegalimassiliensis. Its description in RNAcentral is "TPP riboswitch (THI element)". It matches the Rfam family "TPP riboswitch aptamer (THI element)", at positions 10 to 89 of the family's 105-position model. From Rfam's summary of the family: Vitamin B(1) in its active form thiamin pyrophosphate (TPP) is an essential coenzyme that is synthesised by coupling of pyrimidine and thiazole moieties in bacteria. The record is from RNAcentral. Lineage: Bacteria; Bacillati; Bacillota; Bacilli; Caryophanales; Paenibacillaceae.